This 571-nucleotide ribosomal RNA is filed under the name Staphylococcus aureus. RNAcentral's name for it is "partial 23S ribosomal RNA". It matches the Rfam family "Bacterial large subunit ribosomal RNA", at positions 2352 to 2925 of the family's 2925-position model. Lineage: Bacteria; Bacillati; Bacillota; Bacilli; Caryophanales; Staphylococcaceae. The record is from RNAcentral.
UAAAGGCAUAAGGGAGCUUGACUGCGAGACCUACAAGUCGAGCAGGGUCGAAAGACGGACUUAGUGAUCCGGUGGUUCCGCAUGGAAGGGCCAUCGCUCAACGGAUAAAAGCUACCCCGGGGAUAACAGGCUUAUCUCCCCCAAGAGUUCACAUCGACGGGGAGGUUUGGCACCUCGAUGUCGGCUCAUCGCAUCCUGGGGCUGUAGUCGGUCCCAAGGGUUGGGCUGUUCGCCCAUUAAAGCGGUACGCGAGCUGGGUUCAGAACGUCGUGAGACAGUUCGGUCCCUAUCCGUCGUGGGCGUAGGAAAUUUGAGAGGAGCUGUCCUUAGUACGAGAGGACCGGGAUGGACAUACCUCUGGUGUACCAGUUGUCGUGCCAACGGCAUAGCUGGGUAGCUAUGUGUGGACGGGAUAAGUGCUGAAAGCAUCUAAGCAUGAAGCCCCCCUCAAGAUGAGAUUUCCCAACUUCGGUUAUAAGAUCCCUCAAAGAUGAUGAGGUUAAUAGGUUCGAGGUGGAAGCAUGGUGACAUGUGGAGCUGACGAAUACUAAUCGAUCGAAGACUUAAUCAA